AACGAACGCUGGCGGCAUGCCUAACACAUGCAAGUCGAACGAUUGCCUUCGGGUGAUAGUGGCGCACGGGUGCGUAACGCGUGAGAAUCUGCCCUUAGGUUCGGAAUAACAGCUGGAAACGGCUGCUAAUACCGGAUGAUAUCGCGAGAUCAAAGAUUUAUCGCCUGAGGAUGAGCCCGCGUUGGAUUAGGUAGUUGGUGGGGUAAAGGCCUACCAAGCCGACGAUCCAUAGCUGGUCUGAGAGGAUGAUCAGCCACACUGGGACUGAGACACGGCCCAGACUCCUACGGGAGGCAGCAGUGGGGAAUAUUGGACAAUGGGCGCAAGCCUGAUCCAGCAAUGCCGCGUGAGUGAUGAAGGCCCUAGGGUUGUAAAGCUCUUUUACCCGGGAAGAUAAUGACUGCACCGGGAGAAUAAGCCCCGGCUAACUCCGUG
Molecule: ribosomal RNA, 435 nt
Filed under: uncultured bacterium
Lineage: Bacteria
Description: partial 16S ribosomal RNA
Rfam family: Bacterial small subunit ribosomal RNA
Source: RNAcentral